This 110-nucleotide ribosomal RNA is filed under the name uncultured bacterium. RNAcentral's name for it is "partial 16S ribosomal RNA". It matches the Rfam family "Bacterial small subunit ribosomal RNA", at positions 1390 to 1501 of the family's 1533-position model. The record is from RNAcentral.
UCGCCCGUCACACCAUGGGAGUCAGUUGCUCUAGAAGUCGGUGCGCCAACCUCGGAGGCAGCCGCCUAAAGAGUGACUGGUGACUGGGGUGAAGUCGUAACAAGGUACCC